Non-coding RNA from Lipotes vexillifer (Yangtze River dolphin), 73 nucleotides. Lineage: Eukaryota; Metazoa; Chordata; Mammalia; Artiodactyla; Lipotidae. The record is from the annotation of a RefSeq genome assembly.
UCCCUGGUGGCCCAGUGGUUAGGGCUCUGCACUUCGACUACAGGGGGCCCAGGUUCGACCCCUGACUGGGGAA